AUUGAACGCUGGCGGCAGGCCUAACACAUGCAAGUCGAACGAGUGGCGGACGGGUGAGUAAUGCUUGGGAAUCUGGCUUAUGGAGGGGGAUAACGACGGGAAACUGUCGCUAAUACCGCAUACCAUAGGAUGAGCCCAAGUUGGAUUAGUUAGUGGGUGGGGUAAUGGCCUACCAAGCCGACGCUCCCUAGCUGGUCUGAGAGGAUGACCAGCCACACCGGGACUGAGACACGGACCUGACGCCUACGGGAGGCAGCAGUGGGGAAGAUUGCGCAAUGGGGGCAACCUGACGGAGCCAUGCCGCGUGAAUGAAGAAGGCCUUCGGGUUGUAAAGUGCUUUCGGUGACGAGGCGUUACUCACAGAAGAAGCACCGGCUAACUCCGUGCCAGCAGCCGCGGUAAUUC
Molecule: ribosomal RNA, 405 nt
Filed under: uncultured bacterium
Lineage: Bacteria
Description: partial 16S ribosomal RNA
Rfam family: Bacterial small subunit ribosomal RNA
Source: RNAcentral